UUAAACUCAAAGGAAAUUGACGGGGACCCGCACAAGCGGUGGAGCAUGUGGUUUAAUUUGAAGCAACGCGAAGAACCUUACCAAGUCUUGACAUCCCGAUGACCGUCCCGUAACGGGGGCUUCUCUUCGGAGCAUCGGUGACAGGUGGUGCAUGGUUGUCGUCAGCUCGUGUCGUGAGAUGUUGGGUUAAGUCCCGCAACGAGCGCAACCCUUAUCUUUAGUAGCCAGCGGUAUGGCCGGGCACUCUAGAGAGACUGCCAGGGAUAACCUGGAGGAAGGUGGGGAUGACGUCAAAUCAUCAUGCCCCUUAUGAUUUGGGCUACACACGUGCUACAAUGGCGUAAACAAAGGGAAGCGAAACUGUGAAGUCUAGCAAUUC
RNAcentral lists this ribosomal RNA (379 nucleotides) under uncultured Alphaproteobacteria bacterium. RNAcentral describes it as "bacterial SSU rRNA". It matches the Rfam family "Bacterial small subunit ribosomal RNA", at positions 895 to 1273 of the family's 1533-position model. Lineage: Bacteria; Pseudomonadati; Pseudomonadota; Alphaproteobacteria. The record is from RNAcentral.